UAACCCUUUGAUUUUGGGGGUCGAAACAUGCACUAAAUUUUUUAAUACAUGCUAGUCAUAAGGCAAAUAGGUGAGUAAAUCAGUAGAUUAAUACAGAGAAGUUACCAGGAAAAAUCGUUAUAAUAUUAAGAUAUUCCUAAGACGACAAGGUUAACCCCACAUUUUUACUGAAACAAAGAAAAAUCUUUUACAGCAGUAUAGAAUAUUAUACAAUUAACUUAAGUUAGAUAUAGAAAAUUGUUUUUAAAAUUGUCUUAUCAGGUGCCAGCAGACGCGGUUACACCUGAGAUUUUAGUUUUUUCGAUAAAAAAGGCAAAAAGAAUGUUAAGAAUUUUUGAAAGACGUAACAAGAAAUAGCAGAAGAUUCACGAAAAGAUAAAAUUUUUAGAUGUGAAAUCGAAUACCCUUUUGAACAGCAUUUCUUACAAAACGUUUGACACAUGAAACAACAGAUAGCAAAUAGGAUUAGAUACCCUAGUAACCUGUUGCGUGAAUAAAGACAAUCUUUUAGAAGAAGAUUUUCCGCCUGAGUAUUAUAAUCAACUGAUCAAAAUUCAAAAAAUCUGGCUGUUCAUUUUCCAUUUAGAGGAUUGUGUAGUUUAAUCCGAUAAUCCGCGAAUCAUCUUACCUCAACUUGAUAAUACAGGCGUUGCAUGGCCGUCUUCAGUCCGUUUUUGAUAAUACGAACUCAAUUUUUCAAAAAGAUUAAGUCAGGUAUUAUGACCCUAAUGUUGAGGGAUAUAUGCAAUACAUUAUAUAUGACAAUACAACCAAAAUUUCCGAAUAAAUCCUGAAAAGGUAAUUUGAAGUUGAAUUUAACAGUAAAUAGAAUAAGAGAAUUCUAUUGAAUAGGUUAAAAUGUUAGUACAAAUCGCCCGUCACCUUUAACAAUUAAAAUAAUAAUAAUGACAAAACAAAUUUUUAAAAGUUAAAGCAAGUCGUAACAUAGUGAGAGGAAGGGAACUUCCUCUUGGAUCUAU
Molecule: ribosomal RNA, 980 nt
Filed under: Cyanea nozakii
Lineage: Eukaryota; Metazoa; Cnidaria; Scyphozoa; Semaeostomeae; Cyaneidae
Description: 12S ribosomal RNA
Rfam family: Bacterial small subunit ribosomal RNA
Source: RNAcentral